RNAcentral lists this ribosomal RNA (401 nucleotides) under uncultured bacterium. Its description in RNAcentral is "bacterial SSU rRNA". It matches the Rfam family "Bacterial small subunit ribosomal RNA", at positions 355 to 773 of the family's 1533-position model. The record is from RNAcentral.
UAGGGAAUAUUGGUAAUGGGCGAAAGCCUGAACCAGCAACGCCGCGUGUGCGAUGAAGGCCUUCGGGUUGUAAAGCACUUUUUGAGGGGAUGAGGAAGGACAGUACCCUCAGAAUAAGUCUCGGCUAACUACGUGCCAGCAGCCGCGGUAACACGUAGGAGACUAGCGUUAUCCGGAUUUACUGGGCGUAAAGCGCGUGCAGGUGGCUCGGAAAGUUCGAUGUGAAAGCUCCCGGCUUAACUGGGAGAGGUCGUUGAAUACUUUCGGGCUAGAGGAUGGGAGAGGGAGGCGGAAUUCCGGGUGUAGUGGUGAAAUGCGUAGAUAUCCGGAGGAACACCAGUGGCGAAAGUGGCCUCCUGGCCCAUUUCUGACACUCAGACGCGAAAGCUAGGGUAGCAAAC